GUGGGGAAUAUUCCGCAAUGGACGAAAGUCUGACGGAGCAACGCCGCGUGAGUGAUGAAGGUUUUCGGACUGUAAAGCUCUGUUGUUUAGGACGAAAGUGCCUGUUGCAAAUAGUUACAGGUAUUGACGGUACUGAACGAGGAAGCCACGGCUAACUACGUGCCAGCAGCCGCGGUAAUACGUAGGUGGCAAGCGUUGUCCGGAAUUAUUGGGCGUAAAGAGCAUGUAGGCGGGAAUCUAAGUCUGUUGUGAAAAUGCGGGGCUCAACCCCGUAUUGCGAUGGAAACUUGGUUUCUUGAGUGCAGGAGAGGAAAGGGGAAUUCCCAGUGUAGCGGUGAAAUGCGUAGAUAUUGGGAGGAACACCAGUGGCGAAGGCGCCUUUCUGGACUGUGUCUGACGCUGAGAUGCGAAAGCCAGGGUAGCGAACGGGAUUAGAUACCCGGGUAGUCC
This 450-nucleotide ribosomal RNA is filed under the name uncultured bacterium. RNAcentral describes it as "partial 16S ribosomal RNA". It matches the Rfam family "Bacterial small subunit ribosomal RNA", at positions 354 to 796 of the family's 1533-position model. The record is from RNAcentral.